AUGCUCAGUUUGGCAGCACACAUGCUAAAAGUGGAACAGUACAGGGGUUAGCAUGGCCCCUGUAAUGACAAGCAAAUCUGGAAGCAACCCAUUUUUUA
Molecule: small nuclear RNA, 98 nt
Organism: Cricetulus griseus (Chinese hamster)
Lineage: Eukaryota; Metazoa; Chordata; Mammalia; Rodentia; Cricetidae
Source: Ensembl